This 429-nucleotide ribosomal RNA is filed under the name Chloroflexota bacterium. RNAcentral describes it as "Chloroflexi bacterium partial 16S ribosomal RNA". It matches the Rfam family "Bacterial small subunit ribosomal RNA", at positions 355 to 776 of the family's 1533-position model. Lineage: Bacteria; Bacillati; Chloroflexota. The record is from RNAcentral.
UGGGGAAUAUUGCACAAUGGGCGCAAGCCUGAUGCAGCCAUGCCGCGUGUGUGAAGAAGGCCUUCGGGUAGUAAAGCACUUUCAGCGGGGAGGAAGGCGAUAAGGUUAAUAACCUUGUCGAUUGACGUUACCCGCAGAAGAAGCACCGGCUAACUCCGUGCCAGCAGCCGCGGUAAUACGGAGGGUGCAAGCGUUAAUCGGAAUUACUGGGCGUAAAGCGCACGCAGGCGGUCUGUCAAGUCGGAUGUGAGAUCCCCGGGCUCAACCUGGGAACUGCAUUCGAAACUGGCAGGCUAGAGACUUGUAGAGGGGGGUAGAAUGCCAGGUAUAGCGGUGAAAUGCGUAGAGAUCUGGAGGAAUACCGGUGGCGGAGGCGGCCGCCUGGACAAAGACUGACGCUCAGGUGCGAAAGCGUGGGGAGCAAACAGG